This 253-nucleotide ribosomal RNA is filed under the name uncultured bacterium. RNAcentral's name for it is "partial 16S ribosomal RNA". It matches the Rfam family "Bacterial small subunit ribosomal RNA", at positions 524 to 776 of the family's 1533-position model. The record is from RNAcentral.
UACGUAGGGGGCAAGCGUUGUCCGGAUUUAUUGGGCGUAAAGAGCGUGUAGGCGGUUAGGUAGGUCCGUUGUGAAAACUCGAGGCUCAACCUCGAGACGCCGAUGGAAACCGUCUGGCUAGAGUCCGGAAGAGGAGAGUGGAAUUCCUGGUGUAGCGGUGAAAUGCGCAGAUAUCAGGAAGAACACCCGUGGCUAAGGCGGCUCUCUAGUACGGUACUGACGCUGAGACGCGAAAGCGUGGGGAGCGAACAGG